AGAGUUUGAUCCUGGCUCAGAACGUACGCUGGCGGCACGCCUAACACAUGCAAGUCGAACGAAGUAGCAAUACUUAGUGGCAGACGGGUGAGUAACAUGUAGGUAUCUGCCCUUUGGCCUGGAAUAACACGAGGAAACUUGUGCUAAUACCGGAUAAGUCUUUACGGAGAAAGCUUUAUGCACCAUUGGAUGAGCCUGCACUUGAUUAGUUUGUUGGUGGGGUAAUGGCCUACCAAGACUGUGAUCAAUAGCUGAUUUGAGAGGAUGAUCAGCCACAUUGGGACUGAGACACGGCCCAAACUCCUACGGGAGGCAGCAGUGGGGAAUCUUGCACAAUGGAGGAAACUCUGAUGCAGCGAUGCCGCGUGAGUGAAGAAGGCCCUUGGGUUGUAAAGCUCUUUCGUCGGGGAAGAAAAUGACUGUACCCGAAUAAGAAGGUCCGGCUAACUUCGUGCCAGCAGCCGCGGUAAUAC
RNAcentral lists this ribosomal RNA (473 nucleotides) under uncultured bacterium. Its description in RNAcentral is "bacterial SSU rRNA". It matches the Rfam family "Bacterial small subunit ribosomal RNA", at positions 8 to 526 of the family's 1533-position model. The record is from RNAcentral.